RNAcentral lists this ribosomal RNA (878 nucleotides) under Salmonella enterica subsp. enterica serovar Koessen. RNAcentral describes it as "bacterial SSU rRNA". It matches the Rfam family "Bacterial small subunit ribosomal RNA", at positions 1 to 876 of the family's 1533-position model. Lineage: Bacteria; Pseudomonadati; Pseudomonadota; Gammaproteobacteria; Enterobacterales; Enterobacteriaceae. The record is from RNAcentral.
AAAGUUUUUUAAUUCUGCUCAGAUUGAACGCUGGCGGCAGGCCUAACACAUGCAAGUCGAGCGGUAGCACAGAGAGCUUGCUCUCGGGUGACGAGCGGCGGACGGGUGAGUAAUGUCUGGGAAACUGCCUGAUGGAGGGGGAUAACUACUGGAAACGGUAGCUAAUACCGCAUAAUGUCGCAAGACCAAAGUGGGGGACCUUCGGGCCUCAUGCCAUCAGAUGUGCCCAGAUGGGAUUAGCUAGUAGGUGGGAUAACGGCUCACCUAGGCGACGAUCCCUAGCUGGUCUGAGAGGAUGACCAGCCACACUGGAACUGAGACACGGUCCAGACUCCUACGGGAGGCAGCAGUGGGGAAUAUUGCACAAUGGGCGCAAGCCUGAUGCAGCCAUGCCGCGUGUGUGAAGAAGGCCUUCGGGUUGUAAAGCACUUUCAGCGGGGAGGAAGGCGGUGAGGUUAAUAACCUUGUCGAUUGACGUUACCCGCAGAAGAAGCACCGGCUAACUCCGUGCCAGCAGCCGCGGUAAUACGGAGGGUGCAAGCGUUAAUCGGAAUUACUGGGCGUAAAGCGCACGCAGGCGGUCUGUCAAGUCGGAUGUGAAAUCCCCGGGCUCAACCUGGGAACUGCAUUCGAAACUGGCAGGCUAGAGUCUUGUAGAGGGGGGUAGAAUUCCAGGUGUAGCGGUGAAAUGCGUAGAGAUCUGGAGGAAUACCGGUGGCGAAGGCGGCCCCCUGGACAAAGACUGACGCUCAGGUGCGAAAGCGUGGGGAGCAAACAGGAUUAGAUACCCUGGUAGUCCACGCCGUAAACGAUGUCGAUUUGGAGGUUGUGCCCUUGAGGCGUGGCUUCCGGAGCUAACGCGUAAAUCGGCCGCCCGG